Molecule: ribosomal RNA, 686 nt
Filed under: uncultured bacterium
Lineage: Bacteria
Description: bacterial SSU rRNA
Rfam family: Bacterial small subunit ribosomal RNA
Source: RNAcentral
UGUAGCAGGUACCCAAUCGUGCUGUGCCGCAGCUAACGCGAUAGGCAAUCCGCCUGGGGAGUACGGUCGCAAGGCCGAAACUCAAAGGAAUUGACGGGGGCCCGCACAAGCGGUGGAGCAUGUGGUUCAAUUCGACGCAACGCGAAGAACCUUACCUGGGCUCGAAAUGUAGUGGACCGGGUUGGAAAUAUCCCUUCCCCGCAAGGGGCUGCUAUAUAGGUGCUGCAUGGCUGUCGUCAGCUCGUGUCGUGAGAUGUUGGGUUAAGUCCCGCAACGAGCGCAACCCUUAUCCCUAGUUGCCAUCGGGUCAAGCCGGGCACUCUAGUGAAACCGCCCCGGAUAACGGGGAGGAAGGUGGGGAUGACGUCAAGUCCUCAUGGCCUUUAUGUCCAGGGCUACACACGUGCUACAAUGGUCGGUACAAACCGUCGCAAACCCGCGAGGGGGAGCUAAUCGGAAAAAGCCGACCUCAGUUCGGAUUGGAGUCUGCAACUCGACUCCAUGAAGCUGGAAUCGCUAGUAAUCGCGGAUCAGAACGCCGCGGUGAAUACGUUCCCGGGCCUUGUACACACCGCCCGUCACAUCACGAAAGUGGGCCGUACUAGAAGCCGGUGUGCUAACCGCAAGGAGGCAGCCGUCCAAGGUACAGCUCAUGAUUGGGGUGAAGUCGUAACAAGGUAACCGUA